UUUUUCCACCUGUAGGUGUUGAGCUGAAAGUUAUCUUAAAGGCACAUCCUAAAGCCAAGUUUUUUAGAAAGGCAAACUUCCCUACUUUUGAUUGGCUAGCCAUAUUAAUAGAAGAUUAUGAUGGAGAUGAGCAUCCUAACAUCUUUUCCAUAUGGAUUGGUAUCGAGAUUGAAAAAGAGAAGAAAGAAAGAGAAAAGAAGAAAGAAGAGAGAAGAAAAGAUGAUGGAAGAAAGGAAUAGGUUAGGGUUUCACGUCCCCAUCCUCCUUUUCUCUUUUAUUAAAGUAAUAUAAAGCAAAUAUGACAAAAAUACCCUUGUACAAUAAACUUUAUGUUUAGCAUAUCCCAAGUGUAAAAACACUAAGAAACUUGUGGACUAUAGACCCAUAAUCAAAACCAAGAGGGCCAUGGGCCCAUACUCAA
This is a long non-coding RNA of Magnolia sinica, 421 nucleotides long. RefSeq lists it as uncharacterized. The record is from RefSeq and is a predicted model, not a curated record. Lineage: Eukaryota; Viridiplantae; Streptophyta; Magnoliopsida; Magnoliales; Magnoliaceae. The transcript has 4 exons.